Molecule: long non-coding RNA, 225 nt
Organism: Formica exsecta
Lineage: Eukaryota; Metazoa; Arthropoda; Insecta; Hymenoptera; Formicidae
Exons: 3
Source: RefSeq, a predicted model, not a curated record
GAAGAGCUUUAGCUGUAACAUUUGAUGAUAAUUUGGCCUGUAUGUGUUCGUGGACGGGACAGAAAAAUAAUUUCAAGAUAGGAGAUACUCAUAUUAUGCUAAGUAUAAAAAAAGCGUUUAAGGCAACAUUUCCCCGAAGUACGGAAAAAGAUUUAGAACAAUUGGUGAUGGAGUGGUUUCGUUUUGCAAACGUCCGUAAGCAAAAGAAAGAAAGAAAAGAAAAGU